GACGAACGCUGGCGGCGUGCUUAACACAUGCAAGUCGAACGGAAAGGCCCUGCUUUUGUGGGGUGCUCGAGUGGCGAACGGGUGAGUAACACGUGAGUAACCUGCCCUUGACUUUGGGAUAACUUCAGGAAACUGGGGCUAAUACCGGAUAGGAGCUCCUGCUGCAUGGUGGGGGUUGGAAAGUUUCGGCGGUUGGGGAUGGACUCGCGGCUUAUGAGCUUGUUGGUGGGGUAGUGGCUUACCAAGGCUUUGACGGGUAGCCGGCCUGAGAGGGUGAACGGCGACAUGGGGACUGAGAUACGGACCAGACGCGUACGGGAGGCAGCAGGGGGGAGUAUUGCACAAUGGGCGGAAGCCUGAGGCAGAAACGCCGCGUGCGGGAUGACGGCCUUCGGGUUGUAAACCGCUUUAGCCUGUGACGAAGCGUGAGUGACGGUAAUGGGUAAAGAAGCACCGGCUAACUACGUG
This 468-nucleotide ribosomal RNA is filed under the name uncultured bacterium. RNAcentral describes it as "partial 16S ribosomal RNA". It matches the Rfam family "Bacterial small subunit ribosomal RNA", at positions 28 to 507 of the family's 1533-position model. The record is from RNAcentral.